CAAUAGCGUAUACUAAUGUUGUUGCAGUUAAAAGCUCGUAGUCGGAUUUCAGUAUUAGGCCCUUCUUCCAAUACGGUUGCUAGUGGUCUUUACUUCCUUAACAGAAUCUUUCAUUUUAUUAAUUUAAAGUGUUUGGGGCCUGUUUCUUUUACUUUGAGAAAAUUAGAGUGUUCAAAGCGGGUUUUCGCCUGGAUAUUACUCUUGGAAUAAUAAUAUAGGACUUUGGUUCUUUUUGUUGGUGACUUAGAACCGAAGUAAUGAUUGAUAGGGACAGUUGGGGUCAUUCGUACUAUGAAGCGAGAGGUGAAAUUCAUGGACCUUUGUAUGACGAACUACUGCGAAAGCAUUUGACUAGGAUGUUCCCGUUGAUCAAGAACGAAAGUUGGGGGAUCGAAGAUGAUUAGAUACCA
RNAcentral lists this ribosomal RNA (410 nucleotides) under uncultured eukaryote. RNAcentral describes it as "SSU rRNA". It matches the Rfam family "Eukaryotic small subunit ribosomal RNA", at positions 592 to 1017 of the family's 1831-position model. The record is from RNAcentral.